RNAcentral lists this ribosomal RNA (253 nucleotides) under uncultured bacterium. RNAcentral's name for it is "partial 16S ribosomal RNA". It matches the Rfam family "Bacterial small subunit ribosomal RNA", at positions 524 to 776 of the family's 1533-position model. The record is from RNAcentral.
UACGUAGGCAGCAAGCGUUGUUCGGAAUUACUCGGCGUAAAGAGUGUGUAGGCGGUGCUCCAAGUCUGGUGUGAAAUCUCCCGGCUUAACUGGGAGGGUGCAUUAGAAACUGGAAUGCUAGAGGAUGGGAGAGGUAAGCGGAAUUCCUGGUGUAGCGGUGAAAUGCGUAGAUAUCAGGAGGAACACCUGUGGUGUAGACAGCUUACUGGACCAUUUCUGACGCUGAGACACGAAAGCGUGGGUAGCAAACAGG